CUCCUCACGAGGUGGGGGCUCACGCCAAUA
This 30-nucleotide small RNA is filed under the name Bombyx mori (domestic silkworm). RNAcentral's name for it is "ovarian small RNA-14680". Lineage: Eukaryota; Metazoa; Arthropoda; Insecta; Lepidoptera; Bombycidae. The record is from RNAcentral.